Molecule: ribosomal RNA, 109 nt
Filed under: marine eukaryotic metagenome
Source: RNAcentral
UGGCUUUCGCAAGGUGGCUCCACCCGUUCCCAUUCCGAACACGGAAGUGAAACUCCUUAGCGCCGACGAUACUGGAGGGGAAGCCCUCUGUGGAAAAUAGGUCGCCGCC